GCCUGUAAUCCCAGCACUUUGGGAGGCCCAGGUUGGAGGAUCAUUUGAGCCCAGGAAUUGGAAAGCAGCCUGGCCAACAUAGUGGGACCCUGUCUCUACAAAAAAAAAAUUUGCCAAGAGCCUGAGUGACAGAGCAAGACCCCAUCUCAAAAAAAAAAACAAACAAACAAAAAAAAAACCAUAUAUAUACAUAUAUAUAUAGCAGCUUUAUGGAGAUAUAAUUCUUAUGCCAUAUAAUUCACCUUCUUUUUUUUUUUUUGUCUGAGACAGAAUCUCAGUCUGUCACCCAGGUUGGAGUGCAGUGGCGUGAUCUCAGCUCACUGCAACCUCCACCUCGCAGGUUCAAGCAAUCCUCCCACUUCAGCCUCCCAAGCACCUGGGAUUACAAGCAUGAGUCACUACGCCUGGCUGAUUUUUGUAGUUUUAGUGGAGAUGGGGUUUCACCAUGUUGGCCAGGCUUGUCUCGAACUCCUGACCCCAAGUUAUCCACCUGCCUUGGCUUCCCAAAGUCCUGGGAUUACAGGUGUGAGCCACCACAUCCAGCCUAACUUACAUUCUUAAAGUGUCGAAUGACUUCUAGUGUAGAAUUGUGCAACCAUCACCAGAAUUAAUUUUAUUAUUCUUAUUAUUUUUGAGACAGAGUCUUACUCUGUUGCCAGGCUGGAGUGCAGUGGCGCGAUCUCAGCUCACUACAACCUCCGCCUCCCAUGUUCAAGCGAUUCUCCUGCCUCAGCCUCCCGAGUAGCUGGGACUAUAGGCAUGCGCCACCAUGGCCAGCUAAUUUUUGUAUUUUUAGUAGAGACGAGGUUUCACUGUGUUGGCCAGGAUGGUCUCCAUCUCUUGACCUCGUGAUCCACCCGCCUCAGCCUCCCAAAGUGCUGGGAUUAACAGGUAUGAACCACCGCGCCCAGCCUUUUUGUUUUUUUUUUUUUUGAGACAGAGUCUUCCUCUGUCUCCUAAGCUGGAGUGCAGUGGCAUCAUCUCAGCUCACUGCAACCUCUGCCUCCCAGGUUCAAGUGCUUCUCCAGCCUCAGCCUCCCAAGUAGCUGAGACUACAGGCACACACCACCACGCCUGGCUAAUUUUUGUAUUUUUAGUAGAGACGGGUUUCACCAUGUUGGCUAGACUAGUCUCAAACUCCUGACCUCAAGUGAUCUGCCCGCCUCGACCUCUCUCAAAGUGCUGGCAUUACAGGUGUGAGCCACGGUGCCCGGCCCACAAUUAAUUUUAGAACAUUUUCAUCACCCCUAAAAGAAACCCUGCACCCAUUAGCAGUCCCUCCACAUUUCCCCCUAGCCUGCCUCCCCUGCCUCACCAGCCCUGGCAACUGCUAAUCUACUUUCUGUGUCUAUGGAUUUGCCUUCUCUAAACAUUUCAUAUAAAUGGAAUUACACAAUGAG
This 1400-nucleotide long non-coding RNA is filed under the name Homo sapiens (human). RNAcentral describes it as "HSALNT0382329". Lineage: Eukaryota; Metazoa; Chordata; Mammalia; Primates; Hominidae. The record is from RNAcentral.